GCGAGUGAAGCGGGAAGAGCUCAAUUUGAAAAUCGACUACCUAAGCGGGUCGUCGAGUUGUAGCCUAGAGACGUACUAUCAGCUGAAACCUGGGUAUAAGUUCUUUGGAAUGAGGCAUCAUAGAGGGUGAGAAUCCCGUAUAUGACCCAAAGCUUUCAGCGUACGAUGUAUGUUCAUCGAGUCGAGUUGUUUGGGAUUGCAGCUCUUAAUGGGUGGUAAGCUUCAUCUAAAGCUAAAUAAUGGCGAGAGACCGAUAGCGGACAAGUACCGUGAGGGAAAGAUGAAAAGAACUUUGAAAAGAGAGUUAAAAGUACUUGAAAUUGCUAAGAGGGAAGCGCUGGCAACCAGUGUUUUUCGUCGUUCAUCGCUGUCAGCCCCACUGGAUAGCGCGAGUAGUUGGAAACUCUGCUUGCGACAUCGAAAGGGAGGUUGGCGGUUUAGGACGGCGGAUGAGUCAAGAUUCAUUCGAACUGUGGAAGAAGGUAGCGAGAAAGGUAGGUGACUCUCGGGUCACUGUUAUAGUCUUGUUACUCUACCUCGGCUUGGAUGGAGGAAGUAAUAGUGCGCUGCUUGCGGCUUAGUCCCGUGCUCCUGCAAUCCCAGUCGCUCUGAUAGCAAUGCUAUCCUUGUGAUGAAGCGGUUGUACUGGGUACGGUGACUCUAUGUGCUAUCACGA
Molecule: ribosomal RNA, 676 nt
Filed under: uncultured fungus
Lineage: Eukaryota; Fungi
Description: eukaryotic LSU rRNA
Rfam family: Eukaryotic large subunit ribosomal RNA
Source: RNAcentral